GACGAACGCUGGCGGCGUGCUUAACACAUGCAAGUCGAACGGAAAGGCCCCUUUGGGGGUCCUCGAGUGGCGGACGGGUGGGUAAGACGCGCGUAACCUACCCUUGAUUUAGGGUUAACUUACGGAAACAGGGGCGAAUACCGGAUAGGAAUCCUUGCCGCCUGGAGGGGGUGGGAAGGAUUUGGCGGGUUGGGAGGGACGGGCGGCGUAACAGCUUGGUUGUGGGGUGGUGGGUUACCUAGGACUUUAUGGGCAGCCGGCCUGGGAGGGGGGGCGGCCACCAUUGGGAUUGGGUUCGGGCCAGGCCCCCUCGGGGAGCAAGCGGUGGGAAUAUUGCACAAUGGGCGGAAGCCUGAUGCAGCAACGCCGCGGUCGGGAUGACGGGCUUCGGGUUGUAAACCGCUUUCAGCAGGGGCGAAGCUUGUGGUGACGGUACCGGCAGAAGAAGCACCGGCUAACUACGUG
RNAcentral lists this ribosomal RNA (465 nucleotides) under uncultured bacterium. RNAcentral describes it as "partial 16S ribosomal RNA". It matches the Rfam family "Bacterial small subunit ribosomal RNA", at positions 28 to 507 of the family's 1533-position model. The record is from RNAcentral.